AUUGAACGCUGGCGGCAUGCCUUACACAUGCAAGUCGAGCGGCAGCGCGGGGGGCAACCCUGGCGGCGAGCGGCGAACGGGUGAGUAAUACAUCGGAACGUGCCCAGUAGUGGGGGAUAACCUCUCGAAAGAGAGGCUAAUACCGCAUACGACCUACGGGUGAAAGCGGGGGACCGCAAGGCCUCGCGCUAUUGGAGCGGCCGAUGUCGGAUUAGCUAGUUGGCGGGGUAAAGGCCCACCAAGGCGACGAUCCGUAGCUGGUCUGAGAGGACGACCAGCCACACUGGAACUGAGACACGGUCCAGACUCCUACGGGAGGCAGCAGUGGGGAAUUUUGGACUAUGGGCGCAAGCCUGAUCCAGCCAUGCCGCGUGAGUGAAGAAGGCCUCCGGGUUGUAAAGCUCUUUCGGCGGGGACGAAACGGUCCGUGCCAACACCACGGACUAAUGACGGUACCCGCAGAAGAAGCACCGGCUAACUACGUGCCAGCAGCCGCGGUAAUACGUAGGGUG
This 512-nucleotide ribosomal RNA is filed under the name uncultured bacterium. RNAcentral describes it as "bacterial SSU rRNA". It matches the Rfam family "Bacterial small subunit ribosomal RNA", at positions 29 to 534 of the family's 1533-position model. The record is from RNAcentral.